Molecule: transfer RNA, 71 nt
Filed under: Dishui lake phycodnavirus 1
Lineage: Varidnaviria; Bamfordvirae; Nucleocytoviricota; Megaviricetes; Algavirales; Phycodnaviridae
Rfam family: tRNA
About the family: Transfer RNA (tRNA) molecules are approximately 80 nucleotides in length. Their secondary structure includes four short double-helical elements and three loops (D, anti-codon, and T loops).
Source: Rfam by way of RNAcentral
GCUCUUGUGGUGUAGUGGUAACACUAUGGACUUUGAAUCCAUUACCCCUGGUUCGAUCCCAGGCAAGAGCU